This 492-nucleotide ribosomal RNA is filed under the name uncultured bacterium. RNAcentral describes it as "partial 16S ribosomal RNA". It matches the Rfam family "Bacterial small subunit ribosomal RNA", at positions 29 to 507 of the family's 1533-position model. The record is from RNAcentral.
AGUGAACGCUGGCGGUAGGCCUAGCACAUGCAAGUCGAACGGCAGCACAGUAAGAGCUUGCUCUUACGGGUGGCGAGUGGCGGACGGGUGAGGAAUACAUCGGAAUCUACUUUUUCGUGGGGGAUAACGUAGGGAAACUUACGCUAAUACCGCAUACGACCUACGGGUGAAAGCAGGGGAUCUUCGGACCUUGCGCGAUUGAAUGAGCCGAUGUCGGAUUAGCUAGUUGGCGGGGUAAAGGCCCACCAAGGCGACGAUCCGUAGCUGGUCUGAGAGGAUGAUCAGCCACACUGGAACUGAGACACGGUCCAGACUCCUACGGGAGGCAGCAGUGGGGAAUAUUGGACAAUGGGCGCAAGCCUGAUCCAGCCAAACCGCGUGGGCGAAGAAGGCCUUCGGGUUGUAAAGCCCUUUUGUUGGGAAAGAAAAGCAGCAGGUUAAUACCCCGCUGUUCUGACGGUACCCAAAGAAUAAGCACCGGCUAACUUCGUG